This 261-nucleotide unclassified non-coding RNA is filed under the name plant metagenome. Its description in RNAcentral is "partial contains small subunit ribosomal RNA, internal transcribed spacer 1, and 5.8S ribosomal RNA". The record is from RNAcentral.
UUUCCGUAGGUGAACCUGCGGAAGGAUCAUUAUUGUAUAACCGAGGUGCGAGGGCCGUCGCUGACCCGAAAGGUCGUGCACGCCCGAGUGCCCUCACACACAUCCAUCUCACCCCUGUGCACCACCGCGUGGGUCCCCCUUUGGCUUGUUCGGAGGGGGGCUUACGUUUUCACACAAACUUUGUAUGCAGUGUAGAAUGUAUUUUUUGUUUUUGCGAUCACGCAAUCAAUACAACUUUCAACAACGGAUCUCUUGGCUCCC